GAUGAACGCUGGCGGCGUGCCUAAUACAUGCAAGUCGAGCGAACAGAUAAGGAGCUUGCUCCUUUGACGUUAGCGGCGGACGGGUGAGUAACACGUGGGUAACCUACCUAUAAGACUGGGAUAACUUCGGGAAACCGGAGCUAAUACCGGAUAACAUUUGGAACCGCAUGGUUCUAAAGUGAAAGAUGGUUUUGCUAUCACUUAUAGAUGGACCCGCGCCGUAUUAGCUAGUUGGUAAGGUAACGGCUUACCAAGGCGACGAUACGUAGCCGACCUGAGAGGGUGAUCGGCCACACUGGAACUGAGACACGGUCCAGACUCCUACGGGAGGCAGCAGUAGGGAAUCUUCCGCAAUGGGCGAAAGCCUGACGGAGCAACGCCGAAUGAGUGAUGAAGGGUUUCGGCUCGUAAAACUCUGUUAUUAGGGAAGAACAAAUGUGUAAGUAACUGUGCACGUCUUGACGGUACCUAAUCAGAAAGCCACGGCUAACUACGUG
RNAcentral lists this ribosomal RNA (497 nucleotides) under uncultured bacterium. RNAcentral's name for it is "partial 16S ribosomal RNA". It matches the Rfam family "Bacterial small subunit ribosomal RNA", at positions 28 to 507 of the family's 1533-position model. The record is from RNAcentral.